UCCCGUGAGUGUUCCCAGCUG
RNAcentral lists this microRNA (21 nucleotides) under Marchantia polymorpha subsp. ruderalis. The record is from RNAcentral. Lineage: Eukaryota; Viridiplantae; Streptophyta; Marchantiopsida; Marchantiales; Marchantiaceae.